RNAcentral lists this unclassified non-coding RNA (253 nucleotides) under uncultured Gammaproteobacteria bacterium. Its description in RNAcentral is "contains 16S-23S intergenic spacer region". It matches the Rfam family "Bacterial small subunit ribosomal RNA", at positions 524 to 776 of the family's 1533-position model. The record is from RNAcentral. Lineage: Bacteria; Pseudomonadati; Pseudomonadota; Gammaproteobacteria.
UACGGAGGGUGCGAGCGUUAAUCGGAAUUACUGGGCGUAAAGCGCGCGUAGGCGGUUGAUCAAGUUGGGUGUGAAAUUCCUGGGCUUAACCUGGGCAGGCCACUCAAAACUGGUUAACUAGAGUACAGUAGAGGUCAGUGGAAUUUCCGGUGUAGCAGUGAAAUGCGUAGAGAUCGGAAGGAACACCAGUGGCGAAGGCGACUGACUGGUCUGAUACUGACGCUGAGGUGCGAAGGCGUGGGGAGCAAACAGG